This is a transfer RNA of 122 nucleotides. It matches the Rfam family "tRNA". Rfam says of the family: Transfer RNA (tRNA) molecules are approximately 80 nucleotides in length. Their secondary structure includes four short double-helical elements and three loops (D, anti-codon, and T loops).
GGGGGGGUAGCUCAGCGGACAGAGCGCAGCGAACUUGCAUAUUGUGGCUUUCCCUAAGAACAGCGAAACGUACCCUAAGAUGCCGGUUCCUAAGGUCAUGGGUUCGAAUCCCAUCUCUCCUA